UACGGAGGGGGCUAGCGUUGUUCGGAAUUACUGGGCGUAAAGCGCGCGUAGGCGGACCUGCAAGUCGGGGGUGAAAGCCCGAGGCUCAACCUCGGAACUGCCUUCGAUACUGCGGGUCUCGAGUCCGGGAGAGGUGAGUGGAAUUCCUAGUGUAGAGGUGAAAUUCGUAGAUAUUAGGAAGAACACCAGUGGCGAAGGCGGCUCACUGGCCCGGUACUGACGCUGAGGAGCGAAAGCGUGGGGAGCGAACAGG
Molecule: ribosomal RNA, 253 nt
Filed under: uncultured bacterium
Lineage: Bacteria
Description: partial 16S ribosomal RNA
Rfam family: Bacterial small subunit ribosomal RNA
Source: RNAcentral